Non-coding RNA from Pyricularia oryzae, 73 nucleotides. The record is from Rfam. Lineage: Eukaryota; Fungi; Ascomycota; Sordariomycetes; Magnaporthales; Pyriculariaceae.
GACCUCGGCUGACCUGACACAACAUCCUGCCGAGAUGUUGUGCACCGACCUGCAGUGUCAGUCAGCCAAGGUC